ACGCGCGAAACCUUACCAGGUCUUGACAUCCCAUUGACCGCUAUGGAGACAUAGCUUUCCCUUCGGGGACAGUGGUGACAGGUGGUGCAUGGUUGUCGUCAGCUCGUGUCGUGAGAUGUUGGGUUAAGUCCCGCAACGAGCGCAACCCUUGUUCUUAGUUGCCAUCAUUUAGUUGGGCACUCUAAGGAGACUGCCGGUGACAAACCGGAGGAAGGUGGGGAUGACGUCAAAUCAUCAUGCCCCUUAUGACCUGGGCUACACACGUACUACAAUGGCCAGUACAACGGGAAGCGAAGCCGCGAGGUGGAGCGAAUCCUAAAAAGCUGGUCUCAGUUCGGAUUGCAGGCUGCAACUCGCCUGCAUGAAGUCGGAAUUGCUAGUAAUCGCGGAUCAGCAUGCCGCGGUGAAUACGUUCCCGGGUCUUGCACACACCGCCCGU
Molecule: ribosomal RNA, 439 nt
Filed under: uncultured bacterium
Lineage: Bacteria
Description: bacterial SSU rRNA
Rfam family: Bacterial small subunit ribosomal RNA
Source: RNAcentral